AUACGGAGGACGCGAGCGUUACCCGGAUUCAUUGGGUUUAAAGGGUGCGCAGGCGGCCGUGCAAGUCAGCGGUGAAAGCCCGGGGCUCAACCCCGGAAGUGCCGUUGAUACUGCAUGGCUGGAAUGCGGUCGAGGCGGGCGGAACGUGGGGUGGAGCGGGGAAAUGCGUAGAUAUGCCACAGAACGCCGAUAGCGGAGGCAGCUCGCCAGGCCUGCAUUGACGCUCGGGCACGAAAGCGUGGGGAUCGAACAGGAUUAGAUACCCUGGUAGUCCGCACAGUAAACGAUGGAUACUCGCUGUCGGCGAUAUACGGUCGGUGGCCAAGCGAAAGCGUUAAGUAUCCUACCUGGGGAGUACGCCGGCAACGGUGAAACUUAAAGGAAUUGGCGGGG
This 393-nucleotide ribosomal RNA is filed under the name uncultured bacterium. RNAcentral's name for it is "partial 16S ribosomal RNA". It matches the Rfam family "Bacterial small subunit ribosomal RNA", at positions 523 to 918 of the family's 1533-position model. The record is from RNAcentral.